This 274-nucleotide ribosomal RNA is filed under the name uncultured bacterium. Its description in RNAcentral is "partial 16S ribosomal RNA". It matches the Rfam family "Bacterial small subunit ribosomal RNA", at positions 523 to 796 of the family's 1533-position model. The record is from RNAcentral.
ACACGGAGGGUGCGAGCGUUAAUCGGAAUUACUGGGCGUAAAGCGUACGUAGGCGGUUUGCUAAGUCAGAUGUGAAAGCCCCGGGCUUAACCUGGGAACUGCAUUUGAUACUGGCAGACUAGAGUAUGAUAGAGGGGGGUAGAAUUCCUGGUGUAGCGGUGAAAUGCGUAGAUAUCAGGAGGAAUACCAGUGGCGAAGGCGGCCCCCUGGAUCAAUACUGACGCUGAGGUACGAAAGCGUGGGGAGCGAACAGGAUUAGAAACCCUAGUAGUCC